GACGAACGCUGGCGGCGUGCUUAACACAUGCAAGUCGAACGGUGAAGCGCCUUCCUUUUUGGUGGGUGUGGUUGAGUGGCGAACGGGUGAGUAACACGUGAGUAACCUGCCCCCUUCUUCUGGAUAACCGCAUGAAAGUGUAGCUAAUACGGGAUAUCCUGGUUCUGUCGCAUGAUGGGUCUGGGUAAGAUAUUGUUUCGGUGGGGGAUGGGCUCGCGGCCUAUCAGCUUGUUGGUGGGGUGAUGGCCUAUCAAGGCGGUGACGGGUAGCCGGCCUGGGAGGGUGGACGGCCACACAGGGACUGAGGCACGGCCGAGACUGCUACGGGAGGCAGAAGUGGGGAAGAGUGCACAGUGGGGGAAAGCCUGAUGCGGCGACGCCGCGUGAGGGAUGGAGGCCUUCGGGUGGUGAACCUCUUUCGCUAGUGAAGCGGGCCUGCCUGGGUUGUGGGUGGGUUGACGGUAGCUGGAUAAGAAGCGCCGGCUAACUACGUG
Molecule: ribosomal RNA, 494 nt
Filed under: uncultured bacterium
Lineage: Bacteria
Description: partial 16S ribosomal RNA
Rfam family: Bacterial small subunit ribosomal RNA
Source: RNAcentral